Molecule: ribosomal RNA, 621 nt
Filed under: Protoparmelia sp. ZA
Lineage: Eukaryota; Fungi; Ascomycota; Lecanoromycetes; Lecanorales; Parmeliaceae
Description: eukaryotic LSU rRNA
Rfam family: 5.8S ribosomal RNA (bases 260-413)
Source: RNAcentral
UUAGAGGAAGUAAAAGUCGUAACAAGGUUUCCGUAGGUGAACCUGCGGAAGGAUCAUUACCGCGAGAGGGGGUUACACCUCCCAGGGGCUUCGGCCUCCAACCCUUCACCCUCUGCCUACUUACCUUUGUUGCUUUGGCGGGUCCCGGGCAUCGUCCCGCGCCGGUCAUGGGGCUUUAUUGCCCCGGCCUGUGAGUACCCGCCGGAGACCCGUUACAUUCCGUCUCCUGUGCCGUCCGAGUACAACACCAUAGUCAAAAAACUUUCAACAACGGAUCUCUUGGUUCCAGCAUCGAUGAAGAACGCAGCGAAAUGCGAUAAGUAAUGUGAAUUGCAGAAUUCAGUGAAUCAUCGAAUCUUUGAACGCACAUUGCGCCCCUCGGUAUUCCGGGGGGCAUACCUGUUCGAGCGUCAUUGCACCCCUCAAGCUUGGCUUGGUGUUGGGUCCCCGCCUACAUGGCGAACCCGAAAGUUAUUGGCGGUCCGGCGUAGAUUCCGAGCGUAGUAAAACAAGUGUCUCGCUCCGGGGGUCGAGCUCUGUGGCCGGCUAGAGCCCCACGAUUAUCAAUGAUUGACCUCGGAUCAGGUAGGGAUACCCGCUGAACUUAAGCAUAUCAUAAGC